Protopterus annectens (West African lungfish) is the source of this 3671-nucleotide long non-coding RNA. RefSeq lists it as uncharacterized. Lineage: Eukaryota; Metazoa; Chordata; Ceratodontiformes; Protopteridae. The transcript is spliced from 3 exons. The record is from RefSeq and is a predicted model, not a curated record.
GGUUGGUCCCAGGACUUCUGGCAUUACAAUGAAAAUAUCUUCCCACCUUGCUAACAGUGUAGCUGGUCAGUUUGUUCUGAUGCCGCUGAUGUUGAGAGGGACUGGAAGGUACACAACGUACUAUGGAAAAAUACAUCUUGCAUACUGAUGAAAGGACUAACGGACAACCAGAACAAUUUAAUCGGUUGUGGGAGAGAAUAGCUGAGGAAAGAGAACAUAGAGUGGAUAACCCUAUUUCAACUGUGGGUAUGAGUAGUGCUGCUGCUUUUUCCACUGAAUUACACGAAAUGUGUAGUAAAUUGGAGAAUCUCCUUUUUAAAGAAACAAUAGUGCAUUUUACUAUUUUAAGCUUAUGGAGAUGCUUGGAACUUGAUACAUCUCCAAGGGACUUAGGAGUGAUGAAAAGCCCCAGUACUCCUUUUGAUCCUAAUUGUGAGUAAGUGGUGGAUAGCGACAGCACAUCAUUGUUCCUUUGAGUGGAUUAAAAUACUAAUAUAUUGUGAUAUGGCUAAACAAUGUAAAUUAAAAGAGAAAGUACAAAAGUUUUGUUUGGAUUUGACUGUACAACUCUGUUCUGCUUGGCUGGAUAACUUCUUAAAAGAAGUUAAUGAUAAAUUGAAGACUUUUGAGGAAGAUCUAACUGAUCUUAAAAAGAAGAAAUUCAAAUGAGAUGUUCCUGACUAUGGUAACAGUAAAGCUUUUUUUUGUGGCAGUUUAAAUCUCGUGGUCUGCAAACAUCAGUACGUCAGAGCAGAAGUUAUAAAAAAAAAUGGUGACUUUCGUUUUCCUCCUCAGAAGGUUCUGAGACCAUUACAAAUUGGGAGAGUGAUGGCGGAGCAUACCCCUCCUUUACCAGCUGCACGGGAUCCUGAAGGGCAUGAUAAGCGAUUUCAGAGAGGGGGACAACAUAUUGAACACAAUACCAACAGAAAGAGAGGGAGGAAUAAUUAUGAACAAAAUAACAUACCUGGACAGAAACAAUACACUAAAAAAACCUAGAUGGUAUUUCUUUCUUAAAUAAUUGUAAUUUGGUAGUUAAUCUUUUUGGAUGUGAUUUGUCUAAUGCAUUUUUAUCUGCUUUGAAUGUAGGCCUUAAGUAUGUACCUACUGUUCUACCUAGGAUGCAUGUAUUUAAGUGUGAGAUUUUCUGUUUAGUACAAAAACUCUACCUUGUAUGUUUUUUUGAAAAUAAUGUUAAACAAAAUGGAAAUGUGAAUACUGUUGACAUGGAAGAUAUUACAGAAAUCUUUGAGGAAAGUUUUUUUUCUCUUCUGUGUCUGAAUUAUCGGAAGAUUAAUGGGAUAACCCCAAUGCUUAUUGUUUUAAUGCCAAAGAUAUUGAGUAUAAAAGCACAUUUAUACCUCUCUUUACAAAUGAAAUAGUAAAAAAAUUUUCUGCGGCUUUUGGCUUUGCCAUUGACAGUUUAGUUUCAGAUUUUAAUAAGAAUAGAUAGGAUGUGGAAUAUAAUCUUACUAAGGAACAGUGGCAAGCAGUAAUAGAUAUGAGUAAAAAUCGUAAUUUGCUAAAGCCUGCAGAUAAAGAGGAAUAAAAUUAUUGUACUAAAUUACAAACCGUAUUUGAAGAUAUGAUCAUUUGCAUAAUGAGGUGUAAGAAAAAUGUGACAGUGUUAUAUCUGGAAGCCAUUUUGAGAUAUCAGGAAUUAUGGAAUAAAGGAUGUAGGUUGGGAUAUUUUGUGAUAUUUUGUGAAAAAUUAUCUUGAAAAAAGUUUGAAAUCUCUAAUUGUGGUAUGGCCAUGUUUUACUCUGAACCCAAGAUACAUAAAGGUUUAGAUCAUUUAACGGGCCAUCCUAUAGUGUCUGUCUGUCUGUAGAUAUUUUUUAAAUAAUAUAGGCAUUUUUUUACACAGAUUUUUAUUUCCUUUUGUUCAAAAAAUCCCCUCUUCUAUAAGAGGUACUCAAGAUUUUCUUCAGAAAAUAUCACUGUUAAGAUGGGAACAUGAUAUGUUCUGGAUGACUCUUGAUGUCAAGAGCCUUUAUGCAAACAUCCAACAUAAACAUGGGGUAGAGCCACUACAGUAUUUUUACGGGAUUAUCCCCUUUCAAAUUAUAUUAUAGAACUUUUUAUUUUAGUUUGACUAAUAUUUUUUUCAGCUUUAGUAAUGAGCUUGUUCAUCAGAAACAGGGGACAGCUAUGGGUGCUUCUUUUGCUCCCAUGUACGGUAAUUUAAUUUGAAGUGGAUUUUUUUAUAUCAACAUGAGUUUUAUAAAAAAAAAAAUGUUAAAUGCACAGAUUUCAUUUUUGUGUAUAAGGGGGGGGGUACAUCAGUUUGUUGAUGUGCAAUACAAUAGUUUUCAGUUGUAAUUCGAAGGCUUACAGUGGGGUUUGGAAGUUAAUUUUUUAGAUUUCGUUUUUACUGGUUCUGAGGAAGGUAAAAUUAGUACCUCUGUGCAUAGAAAAUCUGCAGAGAAUAACCUAUAUUUACAUGGCUGUAGUUGCCAUCCUCACCAUCUUAAGGCUACCCUACCUUACGGGGAAUUUUUGAGACUCAAAUUAUGCGGUGAGGAUGCAGACUUUUUUAAUGAGAGUCAGAGGACUAUAUGGAUAUGUUGUAAGUAGAGGCUAUGCAAGAAAGGAAAUUGUUGAUUCAUUACAGAGUCUUAUCCUGAUGAGAAGUAAAAAUAAUGUAACUUCUCAGUUCAGAAAUGUUGAUAAUUGUGACUGUAGACAUAGGCAUUAUUAGGAAAAUAAACAGUAGUAACAAGACCACCAACAAGAGGAAUGUUUAUUUUGUGAGUAUAAUGUUCUUAGUGAACAAAUAGUUAAACUUUUAAAAUACUAUUGGUCAAUUUUAUUAAAAGCCAAAAAUUUGGUAAAUUUAAUUAAAUCUUUUCAUGUAUUUCUUUUAAAAGAGGACGUAGUUUGGCAGAUUUGUUAGUUCAUAGUAAAAUUGAAUUACCAAUAACUGGGGUUCAGAGGCAAAUGAAUAUCAAAUGUGGAACAUAUAGUUGUGGAAAAUGUUCUAUUUGUAGUUAUAUUUGUAAAUAAUUUUUUCUAGGAUCAAAAAUGGUGUUAAUUUUAAACCUGUAAAUUGGUUUAAUUGUAAUUCUGAAAGAAUCAUGUAUGCUCUGUUUAAAGAAACAAUGUACAUUUUAAAAUAUGACACUCUGCUUCCUGCAGGGUUGAACAAUUAAUGUAACUGGAAGUAUAUAAUUAAGUACUUAAUUGAAUUUAUUGUGUGUUAAUUGUAUCCUAUUUUAAGGAGCUGUUUUUUGAUAGUGUAAUAUACUCUUUGAAGGUUUUUGUUGGCUGAGGUGUGGCUGUGGUUUCAUAAUUUUGUGUUCAUCUUUGGUGGUACACUAGAAAGAUAUUGUCUGUAUUUUUGCAGUAAGACUUUGUAGUUGGCAGUGAGCAGGAGUCAAAGCCAGAUCUAAAGUGAGCCUGGUAUAAAGACUGAAAUGAGCCCAGGUGAUGAAAUGCAGUCUCUAAAUUCUUGCUUUGUAUCUUUGUUUCUAUGUUUAUUAUAGUAAGAAGGUCACAAGAGCAUGAAAGAUUAAAUAAAACUGUUAAUUGUGUAUAUUUUCAUUUACCUUUCUGUUGAUUUUACCUUAACUGAGUAUGUCCCUUAGUGCUUCUGUUAGUAAUUUCAUGUACACUGGCUGCUGCCUCAUAAUUUUAUCUGUGUGCCUGCUUCUAUCUGUCUUCCCCCAUCC